Molecule: transfer RNA, 74 nt
Filed under: Zingiber officinale
Lineage: Eukaryota; Viridiplantae; Streptophyta; Magnoliopsida; Zingiberales; Zingiberaceae
Rfam family: tRNA
About the family: Transfer RNA (tRNA) molecules are approximately 80 nucleotides in length.
Source: Rfam by way of RNAcentral
GGUGUCGUGGUGUAGUUAGUUUUCACGUCAGUCUAACACACUGAAGGUCUCCGGUUCGAGUCCGGGUUAAAUCA